UGGAGCCUUGUUUGAAAUGAUUGCUGUUUCAAGGUCAAGGGCAGUUGUUUCAAGUGCAAGUGAUGAUAAAUUUUCCAUAACAAACUGCAUUAGGGCUCUGGAUGAGAUACAAGACAUUGAUCAACUGCUCUAUUUUUCUGCACUGGACCUGUUUGAGGACCCUAGAUUAAGGGAGACUUUCAUUUCCUUAAAAAGUGUCAAGAUUCGGCUGACAUGGUUACAAGGAAAGUGCAGUAAAAAUCCCUUCCAUUAAAUUUAAGUCAUUACUUAGGUUAAAUGUGUUGUUUAUAUUAUACACUUAUUUUUGUUUGGCUGGAAGUAAUUCUGUUUUUGGCUCUCAACCUGCCGUAAUUAUUUAUAAGUGCUAUUUCAUCUUAAGUUGAUUUUCAUAGUUAUUUCUCUGGAUUUAAUUUGUGAAUCAUUUAUUGUAUGUAGAAGAAUAAGCAAUGUUUGACCCGACACACCUUUGUGUCCGGAGUGAGUCCGGACACAUUAAGGAAAUUAUUAAUUUUUUUUGAAGUUAAAUCAUUUAUAAAAUUUAAAAUUAAUGAAACCUAAUACACCCCAAAAUAUCUUUCACCAGAUCUCACGAGUCGUUUGUUCUUCCUGUUCCACCAGCGACGGCGUUUUCUCCGCCGGGGACAACCUUGCUCCUGGUCCUCUUCGUCGCUUCUCUUCCCUGUUACUGGCUAAAGGUAAGACCUUUUUCACUUGUAUUUUGUUUUGACUCAUCCUUAUUAGUUUCUGUGUGAUAUGGUUAUUGUAAUGAUGUUGCUGUCAUAUAUUAUGAUAGAGAGCAUAAUCUGAUUAUGAUAUGAGUUGGAAGGAAUGUAUGAAUUUGUGUUUGAUUUUGUAGCGAUUUAAAAUGAAAACCAUUAUUGAGCUGAUUUUGCUGCAAUGCUAGAGAGGUUAUGUUUGUAUGUCCUUAUUUAAUUCGAUCUUUAAAGCUCCCCUGGAUGCACAUUAUUAUCAUGGUGUUCUACAGGAUAGGUCAUAUGUGUGACACUGUUUUAAAAACAAUAUGAUCUGUGACUUAGGUAGGUCAUAGAUGCAUGGGACAUUUUACUUUUUCUUAAAUUUUAGAGAAUCAAUGUAAUAGAAUCUUAUUGAGCUAUAAGCAUUCAUGCUGGUGCAGAUGGAACUUGAACCCAGUAUUCAACCCAAGCAAGAGCGUUCUAGAACAAGAUGGACAGCAUCCCUGGACAAAAUAUUUGCAGACUUGGUAGUCAAGCAGAUUCAACUGGGGAACAGGCCCAAUGAUAUUUUCGAUAAGAAAACAUGGAAUCAUAUCCGUGAUGAGUUUAACAGGCAAACCGACCUUAAUUUCAAUAAUAAUCAAUUAAGGAAGCAUCUAGAUGUUCUUCGGAUGCGUUACAACAAUUUGAAAUCUGCUUAUGAUCAUAAUAAUGGCUUUCUAUUGGAUGACUCCAUUUGCAUUGGAUUUGAACAGUGGGAAGACAUAGGGGUAAAUUCCUUUCUUUAACAAUCAUUUUCUUGACUCUUUUUUCAUUCAAUGUUAAUUUUAUUGGGUUUUGUACACAGGCACAGCCAAGGAAUGAAACAGUUAGAGUAAAAGAUUGUCCAAUAUAUGAGCAGCUUUGUACAAUAUUUGUAGAUUCAGCUGCUGAUGGGAAAUAUGCCCAAUCUAGUCAUUAUGAGGAGUUAGACAAAUCUAUUGGAAUAGAUGCUUCUGGCUUGUAUGAAAACCCAUCUUCAUCAAAAGCCAUUUCAGGGAAUAUCUUAACUGUUGAUAAGGAGACCAAGAAUUCUCUAGAUAGGAAGAGGAAACGUCAUCAUGAGACUCAAACUACUACUCUGGAUCAAGGCACUUGCGAUGCUAUGGCUGGAGCCUUGUUUGAAAUGAUUGCUGUUUCAAGGUCAAGGGCAGUUGUUUCAAGUGCAAGUGAUGAUAAAUUUUCCAUAACAAACUGCAUUAGGGCUCUGGAUGAGAUACAAGACAUUGAUCAACUGCUCUAUUUUUCUGCACUGGACCUGUUUGAGGACCCUAGAUUAAGGGAGACUUUCAUUUCCUUAAAAAGUGUCAAGAUUCGGCUGACAUGGUUACAAGGAAAGUGCAGUAAAAAUCCCUUCCAUUAAAUUUAAGUCAUUACUUAGGUUAAAUGUGUUUUUUAU
This 2133-nucleotide long non-coding RNA is filed under the name Lotus japonicus. RNAcentral's name for it is "long non-coding RNA (LJAP_LNC001966)". Lineage: Eukaryota; Viridiplantae; Streptophyta; Magnoliopsida; Fabales; Fabaceae. The record is from RNAcentral.